Small nucleolar RNA from Nannospalax galili (Upper Galilee mountains blind mole rat), 133 nucleotides. NCBI's taxonomy places the organism in Eukaryota, Metazoa, Chordata, Mammalia, Rodentia, Spalacidae. The record is from Ensembl.
ACGGAGGUCUAAUCCCAAUGGGGCUUUUCCAGUAGCCACACAUUGUUGGAAACUCCUCAUACUGUAACACCUGUGGUUUGCCUGACUCACAAGACUGCUUCUUAGGCCUGUGGGUAGGAACUACAAGACAGUU